RNAcentral lists this ribosomal RNA (253 nucleotides) under uncultured Acidobacteriota bacterium. RNAcentral's name for it is "uncultured Acidobacteria bacterium partial 16S ribosomal RNA". It matches the Rfam family "Bacterial small subunit ribosomal RNA", at positions 524 to 776 of the family's 1533-position model. Lineage: Bacteria; Pseudomonadati; Acidobacteriota. The record is from RNAcentral.
UACGGGGGGGGCAAGCGUUGUUCGGAAUUACUGGGCGUAAAGGGCUCGUAGGCGGCCAACUAAGUCGGACGUGAAAUCCCUCGGCUCAACCGGGGAACUGCGUCCGAUACUGGAUGGCUUGAAUUCGGGAGAGGGAUGCGGAAUUCCAGGUGUAGCGGUGAAAUGCGUAGAUAUCUGGAGGAACACCGGUGGCGAAGGCGGCAUCCUGGACCGAGAUUGACGCUGAGGAGCGAAAGCCAGGGUAGCAAACGGG